RNAcentral lists this ribosomal RNA (254 nucleotides) under uncultured bacterium. RNAcentral's name for it is "partial 16S ribosomal RNA". It matches the Rfam family "Bacterial small subunit ribosomal RNA", at positions 524 to 776 of the family's 1533-position model. The record is from RNAcentral.
UACGUAGGGACCAGGCGUUGUUCGGAUUUACUGGGCGUAAAGGGCGCGUAGGCGGCGUGGUAAGUCAGCUGUGAAAUCUCCGAGCUUAACUCGGAACGGUCAGCUGAUACUGCUGUGCUAGAGUACAGAAAGGGCAAUCGGAAUUCUUGGUGUAGCGGUGAAAUGCGUAGAUAUCAAGGGGAACACCUGAGGCGAAGGCGGGUUGCUAGGCUGAUACUGACGCUGAGUGCGCGAAAGCUAGGGUAGCAAACGGG